UACGUAGGUGGCAAGCGUUGUCCGGAUUUACUGGGCGUAAAGAGCGCGCAGGCGGUCGUUCAAGUCGCGUGUGAAAGCCCCCCGGCUCAACUGGGGAGGGUCACGCGAUACUGAUCGACUCGAAGGCAGGAGAGGGUAGUGGAAUUCCCGGUGUAGUGGUGAAAUGCGCAGAUAUCGGGAGGAACACCUAUGGCGAAGGCAGCUCGCUGGGACGUUACUGACGCUGAGACGCGAAAGCGUGGGGAGCAAACAGG
Molecule: ribosomal RNA, 254 nt
Filed under: uncultured bacterium
Lineage: Bacteria
Description: partial 16S ribosomal RNA
Rfam family: Bacterial small subunit ribosomal RNA
Source: RNAcentral